Myotis lucifugus (little brown bat) is the source of this 1694-nucleotide long non-coding RNA. RefSeq lists it as uncharacterized. The record is from RefSeq and is a predicted model, not a curated record. NCBI's taxonomy places the organism in Eukaryota, Metazoa, Chordata, Mammalia, Chiroptera, Vespertilionidae. The transcript is spliced from 3 exons.
GGCCCUGGGCGGUGCAAUCGCAACUUGUGCGUCACUACGCCGCCAGCUGAUCGGAGACUGGAGCCGGUGUGUGCUGGGCGCUGGGAAGAGAGCGCCGCCGGCCGUGGGGCACGGACGCACUGAUUUGCUCCCCUGUCCUCAGCACCCCCCGCACACACCCAGCACCAGGAGCCUGUACCUCCCACACCCUCACCUGGCUGAGCCGCAGUAGUUCUUCAGUGGCAAGCUUUAUGUCCUGACCCAGCUAAAGCUGCCAGUUGAAGAACUGUUGCCCUCUGCCGCUGGCUUCAAGGAGGAGGAGAAGGAGCUGCUUUCCCGCUCAUCUGGAAGGUGACAGAACUGGGUCUGGGAAGGUCUGAACAGCAGGAGUGAUGAUGGUGAGGUCCAGAAGUCAGCUUGCCUCUUCCUGCCAUCUCAGUAGUCAUACCUCUGCUCUUAACCUUUCCCUGCAUUUCCUUAGACUGGCCCGGACUCUAGAUUCAGGGUUACUUACCUAUAUGUGGCACCCUUAGACAUCCGGUCUCAGCUUCUCCACCUACCUGUGGUAUGGAGAAAUCACCCAGCUGAGUGUGCCUGAGGGAAUCGGAAGCCCAUUUGUGCAGACUCAGCUUGGGGUGGGAACAGAACAGCUUUUCACUUAAGCUGUUGCCCCUCCCCCCUCCCUGACAAUAACCCCAGGGAUAGGGGGUUGGAGGGUUAAAGGGGCUCAGUCUCUACAUUGACUUCUCAUCAUGCAAGGGUGGCCCCAGGCAUCCUCUGCCACCCGUUAUAAGACUGCGGCCCCUGAUGGCUACCACUGCUCUUCUUCCUCACUUUGCUUUCCAGGAUGGUGUGUGAAACUCAACUCAGGCCUGUGCAGGCAGAAAAAUUCUCCCCUCCAGCAACCAGCAGAGCUGAGUUCUGGGACUCAACCCCCCUUUGGGGCAUCAGGCAGUGUAAACCUGCCAUCCCCAGCUCCUGAUCCAAUCUCACUCUUGGCUCAGGCUCUGGUGUGGUUCAGCCUUGGCCUAGAAUCCCUGCCUGAAGGUGGCUGCCUUCAGGGGCUGCAGGAAGCUGUUUGUUCUAUUUUGGGGGGAAGAGGCGCUGGGUCCUAUUACCCAUUUAUGAGAAACUCAAAGAUUUAGGGGAGAGUAGACCAUUGAACGCAGCUCUUCACAGCUUAAGCCGGAUGUGUGUGGGACUGUGGUAGAAGGGGGUGGGUAGACUGAGUCCACUCAACAAAGAUCACCCUGUCCCUGGACAUUGCUUCCAUCCUUUCUUCCCCUCCUCGCUUCACUGGCCACAGUGUCUCCUUCCAGCCUGGGUGUGUGGCUCUGCCACCCUCACCUAUCACGGAGCAGAGAUGAGGAGGAGCAUCCUGGGAACACAGAGGCAGGCGAAGAACGGUGAAGGACAAAGCCUGGAGAGCACAGGACCUGUCUGGGCACCUUGCAGAGGGGGGGCAUAAAGGCCAGGAGCACCCCAGGAAGAGGGAGGACAGCCAGCCUCCAGCAAGGACAAGCUUCCAGGCAUCUUCAAUCCUUCCACCUCUCUCCCACCUUGGGAGAUAAUUUACAUAGAAGCAGCUUCAAGGAACAAGAGCCAGCUGUGAAAGGACAUACACAGGAAAUUCAUAAAAGAAAUGCAAAUGGAUAAAACCAUGACAACAAAUGUGUACUUCAUUAGUAAUUAAAGAGAGGCAAAUACAGCUGUAA